Molecule: ribosomal RNA, 439 nt
Filed under: uncultured bacterium
Lineage: Bacteria
Description: partial 16S ribosomal RNA
Rfam family: Bacterial small subunit ribosomal RNA
Source: RNAcentral
CUACGGGGUGCUCCAGUGGGGAAUAUUGCACAAUGGAGGAAACUCUGAUGCAGCAACGCCGCGUGGAGGAUGACACUUUUCGGAGCGUAAACUCCUUUUAUAUAGGAAGAAGAUGACGGUACUAUAUGAAUAAGCGCCGGCUAACUCCGUGCCAGCAGCCGCGGUAAUACGGAGGGCGCAAGCGUUACUCGGAAUCACUGGGCGUAAAGGGCGUGUAGGCGGAUUAAAAAGUCAGAAGUGAAAUCCUAUAGCUUAACUAUAGAACUGCUUCUGAAACUCUUGAUCUAGAAUAUGGGAGAGGUAGAUGGAAUUUCUGGUGUAGGGGUAACAUCCGUAGAGAUCAGAAGGAAUACCGAUUGCGAAGGCGAUCUACUAGAACAUUAUUGACGCUGAGACGCGAAAGCGUGGGGAGCAAACAGGAUUAGAUACCCUAGUAGUC